UUUAAAUUUAAUUAUAUUAUCAAAUUAGUAUUAGUUAAGUUCUUGAAAAUUAAAGAUUUUGGCGGUAUUUUAGUCUUUUCAGAGGAACCUGUUCUGUAAUUGAUAGUCCACGAUUAAUUGAACUUUUAUUUUUAAUUUGUAUAUCGUCGUAGUUGAAUAUUUUAAAAGAAUGAAAAUAUUCAAAAAUUUUUAUUUAAUUUAAAAUCAGAUCAAGGUGCAGUUUAUAUAAAAGGAGAAAUGGGUUACAAUAAAUAAAUUUAUAUGAAUAUAAAAAUGAAAUUUUUUAUUGAAAGUGGAUUUGAGAGUAAUAUUUUUAAUUUAAAUGAUAUGAUUUUAGCUCUAAAAUAUGU
This 350-nucleotide ribosomal RNA is filed under the name Dastarcus vetustus. RNAcentral describes it as "partial 12S ribosomal RNA". Lineage: Eukaryota; Metazoa; Arthropoda; Insecta; Coleoptera; Bothrideridae. The record is from RNAcentral.